Molecule: ribosomal RNA, 497 nt
Filed under: uncultured bacterium
Lineage: Bacteria
Description: partial 16S ribosomal RNA
Rfam family: Bacterial small subunit ribosomal RNA
Source: RNAcentral
GAUGAACGCUGGCGGCGUGCCUAAUACAUGCAAGUCGAGCGAACAGACGAGGAGCUUGCUUCUCUGACGUUAGCGGCGGACGGGUGAGUAACACGUGGAUAACCUACCUAUAAGACUGGGAUAACUUCGGGACACCGGCGCUAAUACCGGAUAAUAUUUUGAACCGCAUGGUUCAAUAGUGAAAGACGGUCUUGCUGUCACUUAUAGAUGGAUCCGCGCCGUAUUAGCUAGUUGGUGAGGUAACGGCUCACCAAGGCAACGAUACGUAGCCGACCUGAGAGGGUGAUCGGCCACACUGGAACUGGGACACGGUCCAGGCUCCUACGGGAGGCAGCAGUAGGGAAUCUUCCGCAAUGGGCGAAAGCCUGACGGAGCAACGCCGCGUGAGAGAUGAAGGUCUUCGGAUCGUAAAACUCUGUUAUUGGGGAAGAACAAAUGCGUAAGUAACUGUGCGCGUCUUGACGGUAACUAAUCAAAAAGCCACGGCUAACUACGUG